AAAGAUGAAGGUGAUGGUGUAAAGUUGACGUGGUGGUGUGUAGUUAAAGGUGAAGGUGAUGGUGCAAAGCUAAAGGUGAUGGUGUAAAUGUGAAGGUGAUGGUGUAAAGUUGAAGGUGAACUUGUAGAGAUAAAGGUGAAGGUGAUGGUGUAAAGUUGAAGGUGAACUUGUAGAGAUAAAGGUGAAGGUGAUGGUGUGGAGGUAUGCGUGGAGGUGAAGGUGAUGGUGUGUAGUUAUAGGUGGAGGUGAUGGUGUAAAGGUGAUGGUGAUGGUGUAAAGAUGAAGGUGAUGGUGUAAAGUUGACGUGGUGGUGUGUAGUUAAAGGUGAAGGUGAUGGUGCAAAGCUAAAGGUGAUGGUGUAAAUGUGAAGGUGAUGGUGUAAAGUUGAAGGUGAACUUGUAGAGAUAAAGGUGAAGGUGAUGGUGUAAAGUUGAAGGUGAACUUGUAGAGAUAAAGGUGAAGGUGAUGGUGUGGAGGUAUGCGUGGAGGUGAAGGUGAUGGUGUGUAGUUAUAGGUGGAGGUGAUGGUGUAAAGGUGAUGGUGAUGGUGUAAAGAUGAAGGUGAUGGUGUAAAGUUGACGUGGUGGUGUGUAGUUAAAGGUGAAGGUGAUGGUGCAAAGCUAAAGGUGAUGGUGUAAA
This is a long non-coding RNA of Astyanax mexicanus (Mexican tetra), 638 nucleotides long. RefSeq lists it as uncharacterized. The transcript has 3 exons. Lineage: Eukaryota; Metazoa; Chordata; Actinopteri; Characiformes; Acestrorhamphidae. The record is from RefSeq and is a predicted model, not a curated record.